RNAcentral lists this ribosomal RNA (253 nucleotides) under uncultured bacterium. RNAcentral's name for it is "partial 16S ribosomal RNA". It matches the Rfam family "Bacterial small subunit ribosomal RNA", at positions 524 to 776 of the family's 1533-position model. The record is from RNAcentral.
UACGGGGGGGGCAAGCGUUGUUCGGAAUUACUGGGCGUAAAGGGCUUGUAGGUGGCCGGCUAAGUCAGACGUGAAAUCCCUCAGCUUAACUGGGGAACUGCGUCUGAAACUGAUCGGCUCGAGUGCAGGAGAGGAACGCGGAAUUCCAGGUGUAGCGGUGAAAUGCGUAGAUAUCUGGAGGAACACCGGUGGCGAAGGCGGCGUUCUGGACUGCAACUGACACUGUAAAACGAAAGCCAGGGGAGCAAACGGG